Pygocentrus nattereri (red-bellied piranha) is the source of this 345-nucleotide long non-coding RNA. RefSeq lists it as uncharacterized. The transcript has 3 exons. The record is from RefSeq and is a predicted model, not a curated record. NCBI's taxonomy places the organism in Eukaryota, Metazoa, Chordata, Actinopteri, Characiformes, Serrasalmidae.
CUGUGAGAUACAGCCUGUUUCUCUCAAACUACUGAACUACAGUCACUACAAACCCGCUCUACCUGUGUUUCCCAGUCCAGGACCCACAGAGGACGAUACCUUUCCCUGAUUUAGAGUAAAACAGGCUGGUUUGGGCUCAGGCCUCGAUGCUCCGCCUCCUGAUGACGGCUCAUCCAGCGCUGAAGACUAUGAGAACAUAACAGCUUAAAAUGAGAAAACAUCCCGGAUUUUCCACGUGGUCUCAGACGUUUGGACCCCAAAAGCACAAGAUUCUCUUCUUUUAAGAUGGAAUUUGCAUCAUAUGCUUCACUCAGUAAGAUCACUCAUUAAAAUGCCAUCAAUCUG